Molecule: RNA transcript, 1389 nt
Organism: Salvia hispanica
Lineage: Eukaryota; Viridiplantae; Streptophyta; Magnoliopsida; Lamiales; Lamiaceae
Gene name: T-box protein
Source: RefSeq, a predicted model, not a curated record
GUUGCAAGUUGCAAAUGACACUGCAUUCUGCAACGCUAUGGGAUCUUCCUUUCCAAUCAAAUUCGCCUUAUUCUUCUCCCUCUCUCUCGGCGCCGCCGCCGCCGUUCCUCUCUCACUCCCCCGAAAUCUCACGCCCAAAUCCAAAGCCACCACCUCGGACUUGCUUUCCCUCCUCGGCUCACCUCACCAGGCCGCCUCCGUUAACUCGGUAGUCGCCCGACAACUCCGCUCAUGCUUCAAAUUCCUAGCCCCCUUCAAUCAAACCCUACCAACUCGCCGAGCACUCACUUCUCAACUCAAUACGCCAGUCGAUUACCUAAUUCGCUCGCCGCCGCCGCCCGUAUUGGAGCUGGCGCGACUCGCGGUCGACUCCGGCGGUGACCCUGGGGCUAUUCACCGAGCUCUUGAUCCGACUAUUAUAACUGUUCCUGAUGUUGAAGGAUCAAACCAGGACCGUUGUGAGCUUACUAGAUAUCCUUAUGGCUGGCGAUUCAUUGAUGAGGCCUUGAAUUCUUACAUUGAGCUCUUGUUUGAAAUUAUUGUCGAGCGUGGCCCGGGAGUAGGCCUUAAUGUGUCUCUAAGCCGCUAUGAUUUUUUCCAUGGUCACCUUUUCCUUGCCAAGGAGUCUGGAAGACUUGGCAUUUUGUUUCAUGCUAAAGAGUACCCUGCCUAUGACAAAGAACUUUUUCCUUGCAACAUGGGCUAUUGCCAAGUCGGAUCCAAUGUUACUUACGACGAUUCAAUGAACUUGAGAAAUAUUUUAUGGCUUGCUCCUUUACCGAAUGAUUCCAGAAAGGCAUGGGAUGCACCAGAUUUUGUUGUUGGCAGGAGUCCUCGUUGUCUUGGACGCACAUCCUGAAGGAAUAAUAUACCGGGAUCUCAUACCUGAAUAUGUUCAUAUUGCAAGGACACUAUAUGAAGAUGAUUUUGGGGAAGUUGUGGUUGAUGUCAACUAUCUGAACGUGGGAGGUGAAACAUCUAAAUUCCAACUCUUCGUAUGCUGAGGAGACAUCAUGGAGGUAUCUCCUUUCCAUAUCAGAAGCUGGAGAUUUCAUUUGCUCUCUCUCUCUUGGAUCAGACAUUCAGGGUAAGCUGAAGCUAGGUUGGUUGGCGCAAAAGAAUAGUUUGAGCAGACGUGGAAAUGAACAUUAUGCCAAACCUCUAACUACAGCAAAAUUGACAUAAUGUUCAGCCCCCUUCAAUGAUCACUGAUGAGUCCUCUUUUCAUGUGUGCUGCUCCGAACUAGGCCUGUACAUUAUUAGAUUUUUUUCAGGGUGUUGUCUUUCAAGUUUGGGCAAAUUUAUGACUUGAUUCCUUUGUUGUGAGAUAAACGAAUGUAAUUGCUUAGUAUGUAUCUCGAAUGUAUGUAUCCAUGUUCUCUUGAUUCA